Molecule: ribosomal RNA, 253 nt
Filed under: uncultured bacterium
Lineage: Bacteria
Description: partial 16S ribosomal RNA
Rfam family: Bacterial small subunit ribosomal RNA
Source: RNAcentral
UACGUAGGAGGCGAGCGUUGUCCGGAAUUACUGGGCGUAAAGCGUGCGCAGGCGGCUUUGCAAGACAGAUGUGAAAUCCCCGGGCUCAACCUGGGAACUGCAUUUGUGACUGCAUGGCUAGAGUAAGGUAGAGGGGGAUGGAAUUCCGCGUGUAGCAGUGAAAUGCGUAGAUAUGCGGAGGAACACCGAUGGCGAAGGCAAUCCCCUGGACCUGUACUGACGCUCAUGCACGAAAGCGUGGGGAGCUAACAGG